This is a long non-coding RNA of Syngnathoides biaculeatus (alligator pipefish), 821 nucleotides long. RefSeq lists it as uncharacterized. NCBI's taxonomy places the organism in Eukaryota, Metazoa, Chordata, Actinopteri, Syngnathiformes, Syngnathidae. The record is from RefSeq and is a predicted model, not a curated record. The transcript has 3 exons.
AGCCUCGCUGCUGCUGGCACCGAGUCAAAACGGCUGAUAAGCAUUCCCACCCCUUAUUUCAGGGGUGGAUAGUGGAGAAGAGGAAAAACAGCUGCCCCGUUUUGUACUAAACAGACGCCGAGAGGGUCCCUCCAAAAUAAGAGCUGGUCUAAAGGCAACCCAACUGGAUUUUUUACGAUUAUUCUCGAAUAUUCUCUGUUGUUAGCACACUAGCCCCCCUCCUGCCCUCCACCCGUUUGUCCUUCAAGCCCCCGCGUACCUUCCCCUCCUCUUCCCUCAAGCUCCCUGCCAUCUCAGCCACCAGCGUUUGGCUUUUUCCACUCUUGUGGCACAUUACUGUAACGCUAUUGUGCGACAACACCCUGCCUCUUUUCGCCUCGGUUUAAAAAAAACAAAAAAAAAAAAAAAAGAAAGAAAAAAAAAAACCAGGCAGCGCUCGUAGCGCGAGCGCGUCGCUCAGUAAGGGGAACGACGCACCUCGUACAAAGAGACAAGCGUUGGGAGGAGGCGUUCUGGCCGUGAGCGGCGCACGUGUUCAAACACAAGCUUUCUAUUACGCCCCAGACCUUUGAGGGCGCUGCCCCGCCGAGUCAGGGUGAGGGGUCACGACCCCCGGGUCAAAAGCGUUACAAGGGGAGGCCGGGCGAGCCCAUUGAGCGCGCUGCCGCUGUUUGCUUAAAGAAGGAGCAGCAGAAAAGCGACGAGGAGCGGCAGGAAAGCUUCUGCUGAGCACGAGCGGGCAGAGGGGGGAGUGCGGCGGACCCGGUGGCGUUCGGACCUCUCGGCGUGCGGGUCCACCUCGGCCAAGAGGGACGGACGCG